UACGGGGGGGGCAAGCGUUGUUCGGAAUUACUGGGCGUAAAGCGCGCGUAGGCGGCUUGUUAAGUCGGAUGUGAAAUCCCUGGGCUCAACCUAGGCAUUGCAUUCGAUACUGGCAAGCUAGAGUAGGGCAGAGGGUGGUGGAAUUUCCUGUGUAGCGGUGAAAUGCGUAGAUAUAGGAAGGAACACCAGUGGCGAAGGCGACCACCUGGGCUCAUACUGACACUGAGGUGCGAAAGCGUGGGGAGCAAACAGG
RNAcentral lists this ribosomal RNA (253 nucleotides) under uncultured prokaryote. Its description in RNAcentral is "partial 16S ribosomal RNA". It matches the Rfam family "Bacterial small subunit ribosomal RNA", at positions 524 to 776 of the family's 1533-position model. The record is from RNAcentral.